CGAAUGCUGGCGGCGUGCUUAACACAUGCAAGUCGAACGCGAAAGGGACUUCGGUCCUGAGUAAAGUGGCGCACGGGUGAGUAACGCGUAGAUAACCUGUCUUCAUGUCUGGAAUAAUACGCCGAAAGGGGUACUAAUACCGGAUAUUCUUGCUUUUCAUAAGUUAUGCAAGCAAAGGUGGCCUCUGCAUAUGCUACUGCAUGAAGAGGGGUCUGCGUACCAUUAGCUAGUAGGUGGGGUAAUGGCCUACCUAGGCGACGAUGGUUAGCGGGUCUGAGAGGAUGAUCCGCCACACUGGCACUGGAACACGGGCCAGACUCCUACGGGAGGCAGCAGUGAGGAAUAUUGCGCAAUGGGGGAAACCCUGACGCAGCGACGCCGCGUGAGUGAGGAAGGCCUUCGGGUCGUAAAGCUCUGUCAAGAGGAAAGAAGUGUACAAUGGCUAAUACCUGUUGUAUUUGACGGUACCUCUAAAGGAAGCACCGGCUAACUCCGUGCCAGCCGCGGC
Molecule: ribosomal RNA, 508 nt
Filed under: uncultured bacterium
Lineage: Bacteria
Description: bacterial SSU rRNA
Rfam family: Bacterial small subunit ribosomal RNA
Source: RNAcentral